CUGUGACAACUGGGAGGUUGGCUUAGAAGCAGCCAUUCCUUUAAAGAGUGCGUAAUAGCUCACCAGUCCAGCGUAGCCGCGCCGAUAAUGGUCGGGACUUCAAGCCGCCCGCCGAAGCUAGGUCUUCAUGCGCAAGCAUGAGGGGUAGGGGAGCGUUCCCAUAGCGUUGAAGCCGGGGCGGAAGCCUUCCGGUGGAGCGGUGGGAAGUGAGGAUGCCGGAUUAAGUACGCGAGAAACAGGGUGAAAACCCCUGUCACCGUAAGCCUAAGGGUUCCUGAGCCAUGUCGAUCAGCUCAGGGUCAGUCGGUCCCUAAGUCGAGGCCGAGAGGCGUAGACGAUGGGAAACGGGUCAACAUUCCCGUACCAACUGCAAGCCGUUACGAGUCUGAGGAGGGACACAGGAGCAAGGUCACCGGCGGGUGGUGGAUUUUCCGCUGCAAGGUGGUAGACGUUUCCCGGUAGGCAAAUCCGCUGGGAUAGUCGAGAACCGAUGCCGAAGGGGCCGUAUGGCCCCGCCAAGGGUGGCUGCCGCACACUGUCGAGAAAAGCUUCGCAGACCAGGACUGCAGUUGACCGUACCGUAAUCCGACACAGGUGGGCGAGGCGAGAAGCCUAAGGGGCUCGAGUGAUUUACGGAAAAGGAACUCGGCAAAAUGACCCCGUAACUUCGGGAUAAGGGGUGCCGGCAGUAUGUGACCCGCCAAGGGGAGCAGAGACCGGCCGCAGAGAAUCGUCCCAAGCGACUGUUUAGCAAAAACACAGGUGCGUGCCAAGCCGCAUAAGGCGCCGUAUACGCACUGACGCCUGCCCGGUGCCGGAAGGUUAAGGGGAGAGGUUAGCCGCAAGGCGACGCCUUGAGCCGAAGCCCCGGUAAACGGCGGCCGUAACUAUAACGGUCCUAAGGUAGCGAAAUUCCUUGUCGGGUAAGUUCCGACCUGCACGAAUGGAGUAACGACUUGGGAGCUGUCUCUUCCGUAAGCUCGGCGAAAUAGCAGUAUCGGUGAGGAUUCCGAUUACCCGCGACAGGACAAAAAGACCCCGUGCACCUUUACUACAACCUGUCAUUGAACGUCGGUAUGACCUGCGUAGCAUAGGUGGGAGCCGUUGAUCUGGUCCUUUCGGGGAUCAGGGAGGCAACAGUGAAAUACCACCCUUGUUUUACUAACGUUCUCACUCGGACGGCAACACCGUCGAGGACCGUGGCAGGUGGGUAGUUUGACUGGGGCGGUCGCCUCCUAAAGAGUACCGGAGGCGCGCUAUGGUGGGCUCAGUGCGGUCGGUAAUCGCACGAUGAGUGUAUAAGCAGAAGCCCGCCUGACUGCGAGCGCGACGGCGCGAGCAGGGACGAAAGUCGGCUUAAGUGAUCCGGUGAUCCCGUGUGGAUGGGUCAUCGCUCAUCGGAUAAAAGGUACGCUGGGGAUAACAGGCUUAUCGCGCCCGAGAGUUCACAUCGACGGCGCGGUUUGGCACCUCGAUGUCGGCUUAUCACAUCCUGGGGCUGGAGAAGGUCCCAAGGGUCCGGCUGUUCGCCGGUUAAAGUGGUACAUGAGCUGGGUUCAGAACGUCGUGAGACAGUUCGGUCUGUAUCCGUCGUGGGCGUGGGAGUGUUGAGGGACGUCGUCUCUAGUACGAGAGGACCGAGACGAAGCGACCGCUCGUGUACGGGCUAUCCUGCCAAGGGUAUCGCCCGGUAGCGAUGUCGCGCGGAGAUAACCGCUGAAAGCAUCUAAGUGGGAAACUCUUCCCAAGAUGAACACUCCUGGACCUUAAGGUCCCUGAAGGGCCCUGGGAGACUACCAGGUUGAUAGGCCGCAGAUGUACGGCGCGCAAGCGCUUUAGUCGAGCGGUACUAAUCGCCCGUGAAGUUUGAUCU
Molecule: ribosomal RNA, 1873 nt
Filed under: soil metagenome
Description: bacterial LSU rRNA
Rfam family: Bacterial large subunit ribosomal RNA
Source: RNAcentral